AUUGAACGCUGGCGGCAGGCCUAACACAUGCAAGUCGAACGGUAACAGGAAGCAGCUUGCUGCUUCGCUGACGAGUGGCGGACGGGUGAGUAAUGUCUGGGAAACUGCCUGAUGGAGGGGGAUAACCACUGGAAACGGUAGCUAAUACCGCAUAACGUCGCAAGACCAAAGAGGGGGACCUUAGGGCCUCUUGCCAUCGGAUGUGCCCAGAUGGGAUUAGCUAGUAGGUGGGGUAACGGCUCACCUAGGCGACGAUCCCUAGCUGGUCUGAGAGGAUGACCAGCCACACUGGAACUGAGACACGGUCCAGACUCCUACGGGAGGCAGCAGUGGGGAAUAUUGCACAAUGGGCGCAAGCCUGAUGCAGCCAUGCCGCGUGUAUGAAGAAGGCCUUCGGGUUGUAAAGUACUUUCAGCGGGGAGGAAGGGAGUAAAGUUAAUACCUUUGCUCAUUGACGUUACCCGCAGAAGAAGCGCCGGCUAACUCCGUG
This 490-nucleotide ribosomal RNA is filed under the name uncultured bacterium. RNAcentral's name for it is "partial 16S ribosomal RNA". It matches the Rfam family "Bacterial small subunit ribosomal RNA", at positions 30 to 507 of the family's 1533-position model. The record is from RNAcentral.